Molecule: ribosomal RNA, 194 nt
Filed under: uncultured Funneliformis
Lineage: Eukaryota; Fungi; Glomeromycota; Glomeromycetes; Glomerales; Glomeraceae
Description: partial 18S ribosomal RNA
Rfam family: Eukaryotic small subunit ribosomal RNA
Source: RNAcentral
AGCAGCCGCGGUAAUUCCAGCUCCAAUAGCGUAUAUUAAAGUUGUUGCAGUUAAAAAGCUCGUAGUUGGAUUUCUGGUUUAAUGCACCUGGCCCGCGGCCACUAGGCUUGUGAGUGCCGGCGCGCGUUUACCAUCCUUCCAGCAACGCUACCCUUAACUGGGCGGUGGAACUGGAUCUUUUACUUUGAAAAAAU